This 456-nucleotide ribosomal RNA is filed under the name uncultured bacterium. RNAcentral's name for it is "bacterial SSU rRNA". It matches the Rfam family "Bacterial small subunit ribosomal RNA", at positions 1 to 507 of the family's 1533-position model. The record is from RNAcentral.
GUAGUUUGAUCAGUGCUACAGAACGAACGCUGGCGGCAGGCCUCAAACAUGCAAGUCUAGGGGGUGUAGCAAUACAUCACCGGCGGACGGGUGCAUAACGCGUGGGAAUAUACCUAUCGAUUCGGAACAACUGAGGGAAACUUCAGCUAAUACCGAAUACGUCCUAACGGAGAAAGAUUUAUCGUCGAUAGAUUAGCCCGCGUUCGAUUAGCUAGUUGGUGGGGUAACGGCCCACCAAGGCGACGAUCGAUAGCUGUUCUGAGAGGAAGAUCAGCCACACUGGGACUGAGACACGGCCCAGACUCCUACGGGAGGCAGCAGUUGGGAAUCUUGGACAAUGGGGGAAACCCUGAUCCAGCCAUGCCGCGUGAGUGAUGAAGGCCUUCGGGUUGUAAAACUCUUUCGCGCACGACGAUAACGACGGUAGUGCGAGAAGAAGCUCCGGCUAACUUCGUG